RNAcentral lists this unclassified non-coding RNA (330 nucleotides) under Agaricaceae sp. RNAcentral's name for it is "partial contains 5.8S ribosomal RNA, internal transcribed spacer 2, and large subunit ribosomal RNA". The stretch from base 1 to 71 matches the Rfam family "5.8S ribosomal RNA", at positions 84 to 154 of the family's 154-position model. Lineage: Eukaryota; Fungi; Basidiomycota; Agaricomycetes; Agaricales; Agaricaceae. The record is from RNAcentral.
GUGAAUCAUCGAAUCUUUGAACGCACCUUGCGCUCCUUGGUAUUCCGAGGAGCAUGCCUGUUUGAGUGUCAGUAAAUUCUCAAACUCUUCAGCUGUUGUUGUUGAGUUUGGAUAUGGAGGUAUUGCUGGCCUGUGUUGGUCAGCUCCUCUGAAAUACAUUAGCGGAACCGUUUGCGAUCCGUCACAGGUGUGAUAAUUAUCUACGCCAGUGGGUUGCUCUCUGUGUUGUUCAGCUGCCAACUGUCUGUAAAAAGACAAUUAUUACUGAAUAUUUGACCUCAAAUCAGGUAGGACUACCCGCUGAACUUAAGCAUAUCAAUAAGCGGAGGA